UGGGCAGUAUCAUUAGAACUGCACCUUUCAUUCCAGGAAUUUAAAUGGUACUGCCUGUAUCCGUUAUGGACCGGGACAGAGGG
This is a regulatory RNA element of Desulfosporosinus youngiae DSM 17734, 83 nucleotides long. It matches the Rfam family "pan motif". NCBI's taxonomy places the organism in Bacteria, Bacillati, Bacillota, Clostridia, Eubacteriales, Desulfitobacteriaceae. The record is from Rfam.